Molecule: ribosomal RNA, 172 nt
Filed under: uncultured Corynebacterium sp.
Lineage: Bacteria; Bacillati; Actinomycetota; Actinomycetes; Mycobacteriales; Corynebacteriaceae
Description: partial 16S ribosomal RNA
Rfam family: Bacterial small subunit ribosomal RNA
Source: RNAcentral
CCUACGGGAGGCAGCAGUGGGGAAUAUUGCACAAUGGGCGCAAGCCUGAUGCAGCGACGCCGCGUGGGGGAUGACGGCCUUCGGGUUGUAAACUCCUUUCGCUAGGGACGAAGCUUUUUGUGACGGUACCUAGAUAAGAAGCACCGGCUAACUACGUGCCAGCAGCCGCGGU